This 240-nucleotide ribosomal RNA is filed under the name uncultured bacterium. RNAcentral describes it as "partial 16S ribosomal RNA". It matches the Rfam family "Bacterial small subunit ribosomal RNA", at positions 524 to 763 of the family's 1533-position model. The record is from RNAcentral.
UACGUAGGGGGCAAGCGUUAUCCGGAUUUACUGGGUGUAAAGGGAGCGUAGACGGUUAUGUAAGUCUGGAGUGAAAGCCCGGGGCCCAACCCCGGGACUGCUUUGGAAACUGUGUAACUGGAGUACAGGAGGGGCAGGCGGAAUUCCUGGUGUAGCGGUGAAAUGCGUAGAUAUCAGGAGGAACACCGGCGGCGAAGGCGGCCUGCUGGACUGAAACUGACGUUGAGGCUCGAAAGCGUG